GGGGGGGUAAGCGUUGUUCGGAAUUACUGGGCGUAAAGGGCUCGUAGGCGGCCAACUAAGUCAUACGUGAAAUCCCUCAGCUUAACUGGGGAACUGCGUGUGAUACUGGAUGGCUUGGAUUUGGGAGAGGGAUGCGGAAUUCCAGGUGUAGCGGUGAAAUGCGUAGAUAUCUGGAGGAACACCGGUGGCGAAGGCGGCAUCCUGGACCAAUAUUGACGCUGAGGAGCGAAAGCCAGGGGAGCAAACGGGAUUAGAUACCCCGGUAGUCCUGGCCCUAAACGAUGAAUGCUUGGUGUAGCGGGUAUCGAUCCCUGCUGUGCCGAAGCUAACGCAUUAAGCAUUCCGCCUGGGGAGUACGGUCGCAAGGCUG
RNAcentral lists this ribosomal RNA (370 nucleotides) under uncultured organism. RNAcentral's name for it is "bacterial SSU rRNA". It matches the Rfam family "Bacterial small subunit ribosomal RNA", at positions 528 to 896 of the family's 1533-position model. The record is from RNAcentral.